RNAcentral lists this ribosomal RNA (169 nucleotides) under Artomyces pyxidatus. RNAcentral describes it as "partial large subunit ribosomal RNA". It matches the Rfam family "Eukaryotic large subunit ribosomal RNA", at positions 99 to 261 of the family's 3401-position model. The record is from RNAcentral. Lineage: Eukaryota; Fungi; Basidiomycota; Agaricomycetes; Russulales; Auriscalpiaceae.
CGGGAAAAGCUCAAAUUUAAAAUCUGGCGGCCUUUGGUCGCCCGAGUUGUAGUCUGGAGAAGCGUUUUCCGCGCCGGACCGUGUACAAGUCUCCUGGAACGGAGCGUCGUAGAGGGUGAGAAUCCCGUCUUUGACACGGACUGCCGGUGCUUUGUGAUGCGCUCUCGAA